Anolis sagrei ordinatus is the source of this 226-nucleotide non-coding RNA. NCBI's taxonomy places the organism in Eukaryota, Metazoa, Chordata, Lepidosauria, Squamata, Anolidae. The record is from RefSeq and is a predicted model, not a curated record.
AAGCAAGCAAGCCAGGAGGGAAGUUUAGGUGGCAGUUGGCUGCGCAUUAAAUUAUGGCCGGGCAAAUCUCGGAGUCUGAUCAGAUCAAGCAGUUCAAGGAAUUUCUUGGAACAUACAACAAACUGACAGAAAACUGCUUCCUAGAUUGUGUGAAAGAUUUCACUAGCCGAGAAGUCAAAUCAGAAGAGGUAGGUUGUUAUUUGGAAUUCUUUCUUUUGGAACUUCA